UACGUAGGGUGCGAGCGUUAAUCGGAAUUACUGGGCUUAAAGCGUGCGCAGGCGGUGAUGUAAGACAGUUGUGAAAUCCCCGGGCUCAACCUGGGAACUGCAUCUGUGACUGCAUCGCUGGAGUGCGGCAGAGGGGGAUGGAAUUCCGCGUGUAGCAGUGAAAUGCGUAGAUAUCUGGAGGAAUACCGGUGGCGAAGGCGGCAUCCUGGACCGACAUUGACGCUGAGGAGCGAAAGCUAGGGGAGCAAACAGG
RNAcentral lists this ribosomal RNA (253 nucleotides) under uncultured bacterium. RNAcentral's name for it is "partial 16S ribosomal RNA". It matches the Rfam family "Bacterial small subunit ribosomal RNA", at positions 524 to 776 of the family's 1533-position model. The record is from RNAcentral.